RNAcentral lists this ribosomal RNA (459 nucleotides) under uncultured bacterium. RNAcentral describes it as "partial 16S ribosomal RNA". It matches the Rfam family "Bacterial small subunit ribosomal RNA", at positions 338 to 795 of the family's 1533-position model. The record is from RNAcentral.
CCUACGGGUGGCAGCAGUGAGGAAUAUUGGUCAAUGGGCGAGAGCCUGAACCAGCCAAGUCGCGUGAGGGAGUACUGCCCUAUGGGUUGUAAACCUCUUUUGUCGGGGAGCAAAGCGAACCACGUGUGGUUCAUUGAGAGUACCCGAAGAAAAAGCAUCGGCUAACUCCGUGCCAGCAGCCGCGGUAAUACGGAGGAUGCGAGCGUUAUCCGGAUUUAUUGGGUUUAAAGGGUGCGCAGGCGGAGGUGCAAGUCAGCGGUCAAAUUGCGGGGCUCAACCCCGUACUGCCGUUGAAACUGCAUCCCUUGAGUGCGCGAGAAGUAUGCGGAAUGCGUGGUGUAGCGGUGAAAUGCAUAGAUAUCACGCAGAACUCCGAUUGCGAAGGCAGCAUACCGGCGCGCAACUGACGCUCAUGCACGAAAGCGUGGGUAUCGAACAGGAUUAGAUACCCUGGUAGUC